UACGAAGGGGGCUAGCGUUGUUCGGAAUUACUGGGCGUAAAGCGUGCGCAGGCGGCUUCUCAAGUCAGGGGUGAAAGCCCAGAGCUCAACUCUGGAACUGCCUUUGAGACUGAGAAGCUUGAGUACGGGAGAGGUGAGUGGAAUUCCCAGUGUAGAGGUGAAAUUCGUAGAUAUUGGGAAGAACACCGGUGGCGAAGGCGGCUCACUGGCCCGAAACUGACGCUCAUGCACGACAGCGUGGGGAUCAAACAGG
RNAcentral lists this ribosomal RNA (253 nucleotides) under uncultured bacterium. RNAcentral describes it as "partial 16S ribosomal RNA". It matches the Rfam family "Bacterial small subunit ribosomal RNA", at positions 524 to 776 of the family's 1533-position model. The record is from RNAcentral.